This is a long non-coding RNA of Saccostrea cuccullata (small rock oyster), 301 nucleotides long. RefSeq lists it as uncharacterized. The record is from RefSeq and is a predicted model, not a curated record. NCBI's taxonomy places the organism in Eukaryota, Metazoa, Mollusca, Bivalvia, Ostreida, Ostreidae. The transcript is spliced from 3 exons.
UGAAAAGCUGCACUCAGCCCUCGCUGCAUCAGUGUAAAAGGUAAACAAGCCGCUGAUGUCGGAAUUUACUUCCACAAUGGACAUUCUGCGUUACCUCUUCAUUUAUGGUGUAUACCUUACAAACGGCGUAUUAGGGUUUACGAAGCAAUCGCUCUUUAAACGUCCUAAAAUUGACAAUACCGGCCCCACAAUCUGGAAUUGUCCAGAAAAUAUAAAAGUAAAGGCAGAUGAGGGGAGGUUAACAACAGUUGUUUUCUGGAAAGAGCCGUAUGCAAAUGAUACUAAGGAUGGAAAUGUCAAG